UCUCCGUAGGUGAACCUGCGGAGGGAUCAUUACAGAGUUCAUGCCCUACCGGGUAGAUCUCCCACCCUAUGUUAUUAUUACUUUGUUGCUUUGGCGGGCCGUUAGGCUCCGGCCCGACUACCGGCCCCGGCUGGUAGGCGCCCGCCAGAGGACCCAAAACCCUGAAUAUUAGUGUCGUCUGAGUACUAUAUAAUAGUUAAAACUUUCAACAACGGAUCUCUUGGCUCUG
RNAcentral lists this unclassified non-coding RNA (229 nucleotides) under plant metagenome. RNAcentral's name for it is "partial contains small subunit ribosomal RNA, internal transcribed spacer 1, and 5.8S ribosomal RNA". The record is from RNAcentral.